Rhamnusium bicolor is the source of this 74-nucleotide non-coding RNA. NCBI's taxonomy places the organism in Eukaryota, Metazoa, Arthropoda, Insecta, Coleoptera, Cerambycidae. The record is from the annotation of a GenBank genome assembly.
GACUUCAUGGUCAAGUGGUAAGGACACUUGCCUCUCACCCUGGAGCGCCGGGUUCAAUCCCCGAUCUAGGAUCU